AUUGAACGCUGGCGGCAGGCCUAACACAUGCAAGUCGAGCGGAUGAAGUGGGCUUGCUCCUGUAUUCAGCUGCGGACGGGUGAGUAAUGCCUAGGAAUCUGCCUGGUAGUGGGGGCUAACGUCCGGACACGGGCGCUAAUACCGCAUCCGUCCUUAGGGAGAAAGUGGGUGAUCUUCUGACCUCACGCUAUCAGAUGAGCCUAGGUCGGAUUAGCUAGUUGGUGGGGUAAAGGCCUACCAAGGCGACGAUCCGUAACUGGUCUGAUAGGAUGAUCAGUCACACUGGAACUGAGAAACGGUCCAGACUCCUAAGGGAGGCAGCAGUGGGGAAUAUUGGAAAAUGGGCGAAAGCCUGAUCAAGCCAUGCCGCGUGAGUGAAGAAGGGCUUCGGAUGGUAAAGAACUUUAAGUUGGGAGGAAGGGAAGUAAGUUAAUACAUUGAUGUUUUGACGGUACCAAAAGAAUAAGCACCGGCUAACUUCGUG
Molecule: ribosomal RNA, 484 nt
Filed under: uncultured bacterium
Lineage: Bacteria
Description: partial 16S ribosomal RNA
Rfam family: Bacterial small subunit ribosomal RNA
Source: RNAcentral